CCUGGCGCAAUAGCGCGGUGGUCCCACCUGACCCCAUGCCGAACUCAGAAGUGAAACGCCGUAGCGCCGAUGGUAGUGUGGGGUCUCCCCAUGCGAGAGUAGGACACUGCCAGGC
Molecule: ribosomal RNA, 115 nt
Filed under: Serratia nematodiphila DZ0503SBS1
Lineage: Bacteria; Pseudomonadati; Pseudomonadota; Gammaproteobacteria; Enterobacterales; Yersiniaceae
Source: RNAcentral